This 490-nucleotide ribosomal RNA is filed under the name uncultured bacterium. RNAcentral describes it as "partial 16S ribosomal RNA". It matches the Rfam family "Bacterial small subunit ribosomal RNA", at positions 30 to 507 of the family's 1533-position model. The record is from RNAcentral.
AUUGAACGCUGGUGGCAGGCUUAACACAUGCAAGUCGAACGGUAACAGGGAUUGGCUUGCUUCUUUGCUGACGAGUGUCGCACGCGUGUGUAAUGCUUAGGAAUCUGUCUUAUGUCGGGGGGUAACUACUGGAAACUGUAGCUAAUACCGCGUAAACUCUUCGGGUUAAAGGGCGGGACUUUCGCGCCACCUGCCAUAAGAUGAGCCCAAGUGGGAUUAGGUAGUUGGUUCGGUAAAGGCUGACCAAGCCGACGAUCUCUAGCUGGUCUGAGAGGAUGACCAGCCACACUGGAACUGAGACACGGUCCAGACUCCUACGGGAGGCAGCAGUGGGGAAUAUUGGACAAAGGGGGGAAGCCUGAUGCAGCCAUGCCGCGUGAAUGAAGAAGGCCUUCGGGUUGUAAAGUUCUUUUGGUGAGGAAGAAAGGUGAUAGGUUAAUAGCCUAUUAAAUUGACGGUAACCAAAGAAGAAGCACCGGCUAACUUCGUG